UGGAAAUUCCAGAACACGUUCCAAGUACAUUUCUAAACUGUUUACAGUGUCCUCUGUGGCUCAACUCUUGGAUUGACUUAGUAGCUGCAACAUGCACAGUGUCAUUCCCAGCAAACCUGUUGUUGAUCUACUGGUUCGUUAUUCAGGCCGUUUUCUUGACAUACUGUAUCAUCUUUUGAGAUUAAAUGUUCCCCUGAUUUCAAAUGGAAUUUAUGAGGGCAACCGGGCCGCUAUUACAUUGCCGAACUAUUAAAUGUCAGUACUAAAAUCCAGUAGACAGAAAACGAAAAAAAAAAAAAAUGCAUAUUUUCAAAAUAUGCUUAUACGGGUUUAUAAAAUAGGCUAACAGAUAAAUCACCCCCAGAUCCACAGAUUCAAUAAAAAGACACGAUCCAGAACGAAUACCAUAAAAUUUUACUUUCUUAUGCAUACUAAAAAUGAAAUAUAAAACAAACAAGGGGAUUUUGUUUGUAACUUAGAAAUGAGAUUCGUUUAGUUUGUGAGUAAAAAUGCCAAACAGCUGCAUUUUUGUCCUGGUUAGAUUGUGAGUUCAUUCCCGGAGCAUGACCAAUGAGUGCACAUCAUUGUUUUUAUUUGAAAUGUCCUAGACCAAUAUAAUACGACAAAGCUGUGUACACACACACACAUUAUGUUUGUAUGCAUGAGUUGUUCUAGAACAGUCUCUGGGAUUGUGGCUGAAAUGAAUGUCUGCAGAUGCACAUAAAUAUCUACACUGAGAGAUUGUUCAUCUAGAGUGCACAGACGUUGUGGGGGUAAUCCAUUUUAUGAAGCAGCUGUGUGAAUCCCAGACAGGGAAGGGCAUCACUGGGAUAGGCAGUGUAGCCUGGACAAGAGGCUGAGCUGCUUCUGCACAAGACAGAUGUUAACGGAGAGCCAGGGCUACCACCUGUGUCAACGGAGAGCGUCGCAUUGCCCAGGAACCUGUGGAAAACAUUCCUUUGCUGACCUUCUUUUGGGUUUUUUUCCUUACACCUGAACCCGGGUACUAUCCCCGGUCCUCAUGGCUAAUGAGGAAAUGCUUAGGGUUUCCAAGGCGACGAGAUCUGACUUCACACAGGUGUGCGAUCCACACCGCCGUCUCUCUGCCCCACCUUACAUUUCUUCAUGCUUUCUUCACUUUCCCAGUAGGCCAGGCACCUACUGGGACCUAGAGAGACUGCCCCUGCAACAACUACCCUCCACACACCCCAAUGGGUGAGGACUACCUCGCCUUCUGCACGCGGUGUGGGCCCGACGGAGAGAAGAAAUGAACAGUGUGAGAACGUGAAGUGAAACCACGCAGGUUUAUGGGUUCUUUAAAGCAGCGUAAUCCCACAAGUUUGCUUGGGGCUUAGGAAAAAGAGCAGUCAAAACACGUAAACUGUUUAAUUACCCAGAACCACCCGGUACCUUGUGUUUCCUUUUUCUGUUCAUCCUGUCACCGCCGUCCAUCUGGUUUUGUAUUGCAGCAGCAUGCUACAGUCUGACAUAGCAUUUGGUGACUCUACUUGUAAAAACUGCAAUUACUUGUUAUAUGAGACCUCAAACUAAGUGAUGUAACUCUCAAAUAAUAUAUUUAACAGGUCAGGUAAUCACGUAAUGGCCGUUGGCUGUUUUUAUUGUCUUUAUGGGAUAUUUGAAGACCACAUUCUUCGAAAUGAUCAUGGUUUUCCGUAUUUUUUUCUUCAUAUUCAAGACCCUCAUUUAGUGAAGUACAGUCUGUAAUGUCUUAUAUUAUUUCUCAUGAAUCCGGCCUUCAGUUCACUGUCUGAAAGAAGGACGAACUUGGAAAGAAAAAUAAGGUUGUAAGACGUUGCCUUGAUGAGUAAAACUUGAAGAGUUGCUGGGAGCUGAGCUCUAAACUAGAGAAGAAAUCGGUUGUUAGAGAAUAUUUCUUGUUUGCUUUUGUGGGCUGAGACUGACGUCUUCCUGAGGGCUAGCGUCUGGGUAGGUGAGCGGUAAUGGAAUGUGGUUACGAGGGGGGGCAUGUAAGGGGUCGCUUGGUACUCCUCAGCCACUAUUCUGUGGUUACUAUUUAGCUCUCUCUGUCACCCCUUUCCGUUUUAACUUAACGGCGUGAGACGAGAGCCCUGCAUUGGUGUCAAAGGCACGUUCGUGAAAAACAUCACCUGGGUGUCCUGUGUUGACGCGAAGGGCUGCCUUGGGAUUCUGUACGGAAAUAAACUCUUCCUGCUUUCCAUGGAUCCUGUACAAACCCCCCCCCCCCCCCCCCCGAAAGGCACAAAAAUACCACAUCCCUUUUCUUUAUUUUUGGCGUGUACUAGAAUCAAAAGUUGUAUGCUUUAUAUGUUAUAAUGGUUGUAUGUUACUGUAUGUUUACUGUAUAUAUAGUUUGUUGAUUAUUUGUCCACACUAUUCUGUUGUUUUUUAUUUGUUUGUUAUUUUUUGUUGUUUAAAUCUGAAGGGAGGUAGGCAAGUGAGAAGCACAUGUACAAAUGACAAUAAAACUUUUGAAUCCUUGAA
This is a non-coding RNA of Paramormyrops kingsleyae, 2484 nucleotides long. The record is from RefSeq and is a predicted model, not a curated record. Lineage: Eukaryota; Metazoa; Chordata; Actinopteri; Osteoglossiformes; Mormyridae.